This 1116-nucleotide long non-coding RNA is filed under the name Equus caballus (horse). RNAcentral describes it as "lncRNA (ENSECAG00000060143.1)". Lineage: Eukaryota; Metazoa; Chordata; Mammalia; Perissodactyla; Equidae. The record is from RNAcentral.
CAGAUAAGCUCUGCUUUUUUCCAAUAGAUGGUUAUUAUUUUGUUCAAGAAAGAUAAGAGUACAGGCUUGCUGAGGUAGAAACACGUGAACAGUCUGAGUGCCGAGGCUGAUGGAAGCAUGGGCUUGAUUGGAUUGUUCGAACCAGGGACUCACCUAGAAGGUCAGGGGUCUCAGAAUCCAGAAAGGACCAGUCCUCAUUCCUGGCAUUGCCCUGCCAGCUUUGUUCCCUCUGGGUCACAGAGACACUUUUUGAAUUAAGGACACUGUUUGGAAGCAGAGGGACCUGGUUUGAAUGUCCUUUUCUCCAGCAUGUACAAUUUCUGGGAACUUGGGCAUAAAAGAGUGAGCCAGAGACAAGGUGUCUACCCUUGCAGAGCUCAGAGCCAGGGGACAGAGGUGACAGAGGGAAAUCACCUAACAGCACACAUAGGUAGUUACCACACUGCUGUGUGUUAUGAUGGAACACCGCAGGGAGUUAUGAGUGCUUAACGGGGCCGGGAGAUCCAGGGCAAGGAAGACAGCCGGCAGGAACUGACAUGUGAGGAGAGAGUGAAGGAGGACUUCACAAGGAGGACUUAUCAGUUGUCAUUAUAUCAUCAUUGGAGCCCAGGGCAUCAUCAUCUGUAGCCUGACCCCUUCCAUUGUUUCUAAGUGUGCUCCUUGCUUCUGUCGCUUGCUCACCUAUCAUCAUCAUGCAGAGUAGCUGGAACCAUCUUCCAAGAAAUUAAGAUGACUUUAUGGUUCUGUAAAUCAGGGUUGCCUACAACGAGGAUAACAGCAAGAAAUUCCCUGAGAAGCCACAGGACCUGAGCAGCACUCACAUUUGGAAAUGUCAACACUCCUAAUAAAAAUAAAACCCAGAAACCUCCACUAUCAGUAGAAUUUCUUGAGAGGGCCGGGCAAAUGAAUCAAGAAAUCUCAGCCUUUCCCCCCAAGAUUCACCUUCCUGCUGGAGCUUCUCAAAUAUUACUGCUACCACCACGAUGCUCUCCUCCAAAGAACCCCUUCUGCUUUUAACAUUUGGGGCCACCAUAUAGGUGAAAGACUCACCCACUUGUCCAGCUGAGCUGUACAACGAGACUUGCUUGGAGAUGGCGAUGAGAAAAUAAAACUAGG